RNAcentral lists this long non-coding RNA (2436 nucleotides) under Canis lupus familiaris (dog). Its description in RNAcentral is "lncRNA (ENSCAFG00000056295.1)". The record is from RNAcentral. Lineage: Eukaryota; Metazoa; Chordata; Mammalia; Carnivora; Canidae.
CGCACGCGCGCGAGACAGAGAGAGAGAGAGGCACAGACACAGGCAGAGGGAGAGGCAGGCUCCAUGCAAGGAGGCUGACAUGGGACUCGAUUCCCGGUCCCCAGGAUCAGGCCCUGGACUGAAGACGGCGCUAAACCGCUGAGCCACCCGGGGUAUCCAGGUCCAGGUUUUAUUUUAUUUUUUUUAAUAUAUUAAUUUCUUAUUGGUGUUCAAUUUACCAACAUACAGAAUAACACCCAGUGCUCAUCCCGUCAAGUGCCCCCAUCAGUGCCCGUCACCCAUUCACCCCCACCCCCCCUCCUCCCCUUCCAUCACCCCUAGUUCGUUUCCCAGAGUUAGGAGUCUUUAUGUUCUGUCUCCCUUCCUGAUAUUUCCCACACAUUUCUUCUCCCUUCCCUUAUUUUCCCUUUCACUAUUAUUUAUAUUCCCCAAAUGAAUGAGAACAUACACUGUUUGUCCUUCUCCGAUUGACUUAUUUCACUCAGCAUCAUACCCUCCAGUUCCAUCCACGUUGAAGCAAAUGGUGGGUAUUUGUCGUUUCUAAUGGCUGAGGAAUAUUCCAUUGUAUACAUAGACCACAUCUUCUUUAUCCACUCAUCUUUCGAUGGACACCGAGGCUCCUUCCACAGUUUGGCUAUUGGGGACAUUGCUGCUAGAAACAUUGGGGUGCAGGUGUCCCGGCGUUUCAUUGCAUCUGUAUCUUUGGGGUAAAUCCCCAGCAGUGCAAUUGCUGGGUCGUAGGGCAGGUCUAUUUUUAACUCUUUAGGGAACCUCCACAAAGUUUUCCAGAGUGGCUGCACCAGUUCACAUUCCCACCAACAGUGCAAAAGGGUUCCCUUUUCUCUACAUCCUCUCCAACAUUUGUGGUUUCCUGCCUUGUUAAUUUUCCCCAUUCUCACUGGUGUGAGGUGGGAUCUCAUUGUGUUUUGAUUUCUAUUUCCCUGAUGGCCAGUGAUGCGGAGCAUUUUCUCAUGUGCAUGUUGGCCAUGUCUAUGUCUUCCUCUGUGAGAUUUCUGUGCAUGUCUUUUGCCCAUUUCAUAAUUGGAUUGUUUGUUUCUUUGGUGUUGAGUUUAAUAAGUUCUUUAUAGAUCUGGGAAACUAGCCCUUUAUCUGAUACGUCAGUUGCAAAUAUCUUCUCCCAUUCUGUAGGUUUUCUUUGAGUUUUGUUGACUGUAUCCUUUGCUGUGCAGAAGCUUCUUAUCUUGAUGAAGUCCCAAUAGUUCAUUUUUGCUUUUUGUUUCUUUCGCCUUCGUGCCUUCGUGGAUGUAUCUUGCAAGAAGUUACCGUGGCCGAGUUCAAAAAGGGUGUUGCCUGUGUUCUCCUCUAGGAUUUUGAUGGAAUCUUGUCUCACAUUUAGAUCUUUCAUCCAUUUUGAGUUUAUCUUUGAGUGUAUGGUGUAAGAGAAUGGUCUAGUUUCAUUGUUCUGCAUGUGGAUGUCCAAUUUUCCCAGCACCAUUUAUUGAAGAGACUGUCUUUCUUCCAAUGGAUAGUCUUUCCUCCUUUAUCGAAUAUUAGUUGACCAUAAAGUUCAGGGUCCACUUCUGGGUUCUCUAUUCUGUUCCAUUGAUCUAUGUGUCUGUUUUUGUGCCAGUACCACACUGUCUUGAUGACCACAGCUUUGUAGUACAACCUGAAAUCUGGCAUUGUGAUGCCCCCAGCUAUGGUUUUCUUUUUUAAAAUUCUCCUGGCUAUUCGGGGUCUUUUCUGAUUCCACACAAAUCUUAAAAUAAUUUGUUCUAACUCUAUGAAGAAAAUCCAUGGUAUUUUGAUAGGGAUUGCAUUAAACGUGUAAAUUGCCCUGGGUAACAUUGACAUUUUCACAAUAUUAAUUCUGCCAAUCCAUGAGCAUGGAAUAUUUUUCCAUCUCUUUGUGUCUUCCUCAAUUUCUUUCAGAAGUGUUCUAUAGUUUUUAGGGUAUAGAUCCUUUACCUCUUUGGUUAGGUUUAUUCCUAGGUAUCUUAUGGUUUUGGGUGCAAUUGUAAAUGGGAUUGACUCCUUAAUUUCUCUCUUUCUUCAGUCUCAUUGUUAGUGUAUAGAAAUGCCACUGAUUUCCCAGGCAUUGAUUUUGUAUCCUGCAAUGCUACCAAAUUGCUAUAUGAGUUCUAGCAAUCUUGGGGUGGAGACUUUUGGGUUUUCUAUGUAGAGUAUCAUGUCAUUGGCGAAGAGGGAGAGUUUGACUUCUUCUUUGCCAAUUUGAAUGCCUUUAAUGUAUUUUUGUUGUCUGAUUGCUGAGGCUAGGACUUCCAGUACUAUGUUGAAUAGCAGUGGUGAGAGUGGACAUCCCUGUCUUGUUCCUGAUCUUAGGGGAAAGGCUCCCAGUGCUUCCCCAUUGAGAAUGAUAUUUGCUGUGGGCUUUUCGUAGAUGGCUUUUAAGAUGUUGAGGAAUGUUCCCUCUAUCCCUACACUCUAAAGAGUUUUGAUCACCAAUGGAUGCUG